AGAACUGCCCUCUCCAGGCUUCCUUCCUGACGCAGGAGCAUCAUGUCCUACUGGCUGUGCCCACCACACUCAGCACCUCUGUGCAUUGAAUUUAGCGCUUGGCAAAGGACAAAUUCCCUAGCCCAAGUGCAAGCUGGCCCUGUGCUCUCUUGCUUUGACUCACUCCUGAUCUGAAUCAGCUCCCACUCGAGCUCCUGCACUGCCUGAAGAAUAUUUGUCUGUCCGGCCUGACAGGCUGCCACCACGUAUCGAGCAUGCUCCAGGGAUUUUUCUCAGCAUCAGAAAGGACAAAUUCAGAGAGCAGCCUGAAAGAACUAUUCAGACAGCUUGGAGAGGAUGUCUGGCUGAUAUGUUCUUAGGGAGCUGAAGCGUUGGUCCCACAGUCAUUUGGGCCUUGUGUAGACCUGUGCCUUUAAAACAAACAAACUUCAAAAGGAAAAUCAAUACUUGAGGUGGAAGAGUUCAUGCAUUUCAGAGCCUCAGGUGAGCAAGAUGAUUUGUAUUUUAA
Molecule: non-coding RNA, 508 nt
Organism: Anas platyrhynchos (mallard)
Lineage: Eukaryota; Metazoa; Chordata; Aves; Anseriformes; Anatidae
Source: RefSeq, a predicted model, not a curated record